RNAcentral lists this ribosomal RNA (916 nucleotides) under uncultured bacterium. Its description in RNAcentral is "bacterial SSU rRNA". It matches the Rfam family "Bacterial small subunit ribosomal RNA", at positions 8 to 916 of the family's 1533-position model. The record is from RNAcentral.
AGAGUUUGAUCAUGGCUCAGGACGAACGCUGGCGGCGUGCUUAAUACAUGCAAGUCGGGCGAGGUUACUGUUUCGGAUCCCUUCGGGGUGAAGAAGCUUUAACCUAGCGGCGGACGGGCGAGUAACGCGUGGGUAACCUACCCCAAAGUCCGGGAUAACAGCGGGAAACCGCUGCUAAUACCGGAUGCCUUUACCUUGGGGCAUCUUGAGGUAAAGAAAGGCAACGCUUUGGGAUGGGCCCGCGUCCCAUUAGCUAGUUGGUGAGGUAACGGCUCACCAAGGCGACGAUGGGUAGCCGGCCUGAGAGGGUGGACGGCCACACUGGGACUGAGACACGGCCCAGACUCCUACGGGAGGCAGCAGUAGGGAAUAUUGCGCAAUGGACGGAAGUCUGACGCAGCGACGCCGCGUGAGCGAUGAAGGUCUUCGGAUCGUAAAGCUCUGUCCUUGGGGAAGAAGGCGAAAGCUUGACGGUACCCAAGAAGAAAGCCCCGGCUAACUACGUGCCAGCAGCCGCGGUAAUACGUAGGGGGCGAGCGUUGUCCGGAAUUACUGGGCGUAAAGGGUGCGUAGGCGGCCCUUUAAGUCGGAUGUGAAAGCCCGCGGCUUAACCGCGGAAUGGCAUUCGAAACUGGAGGGCUUGAGUGUCGGAGAGGGUAGUGGAAUUCCCAGUGUAGCGGUGAAAUGCGUAGAUAUUGGGAGGAACACCAGUGGCGAAGGCGACUACCUGGACGAUAACUGACGCUGAGGCACGAAAGCUAGGGGAGCAAACAGGAUUAGAUACCCUGGUAGUCCUAGCCGUAAACGAUGGGUACUAGGUGUGGGUGGUUUCGAUACCAUCCGUGCCGUAGUUAACGCAUUAAGUACCCCGCCUGGGGAGUACGUGCGCAAGCAUGAAACUCAAAUGAAUUGACGG